RNAcentral lists this transfer RNA (86 nucleotides) under Oxytricha trifallax. It matches the Rfam family "tRNA". Rfam says of the family: Transfer RNA (tRNA) molecules are approximately 80 nucleotides in length. Their secondary structure includes four short double-helical elements and three loops (D, anti-codon, and T loops). Lineage: Eukaryota; Ciliophora; Spirotrichea; Sporadotrichida; Oxytrichidae. The record is from Rfam by way of RNAcentral.
CCGAACAUAGCUCAGAUGGCAGAGCGCCCGACUGUAGAGGAUACGCAGUUAUCGGGCGGUCCCUGGUUCGAUUCCGGGUGUUCGGA